Molecule: transfer RNA, 56 nt
Filed under: Ophiophagus hannah (king cobra)
Lineage: Eukaryota; Metazoa; Chordata; Lepidosauria; Squamata; Elapidae
Rfam family: tRNA
About the family: Transfer RNA (tRNA) molecules are approximately 80 nucleotides in length. Their secondary structure includes four short double-helical elements and three loops (D, anti-codon, and T loops).
Source: Rfam by way of RNAcentral
GCUCAGUGGUUAGAGCACUGGCCUUGUAAACCAGGGGUCGUGAGUUUGAUCCUCAC